This 253-nucleotide ribosomal RNA is filed under the name uncultured bacterium. RNAcentral describes it as "partial 16S ribosomal RNA". It matches the Rfam family "Bacterial small subunit ribosomal RNA", at positions 524 to 776 of the family's 1533-position model. The record is from RNAcentral.
UACGUAGGCAGCAAGCGUUGUUCGGAGUUACUGGGCGUAAAGGGUGUGUAGGCGGUUUUUUAAGUUUGGUGUGAAAUCUCCCGGCUCAACUGGGAGGGUGCGCCGAAUACUGAAAGACUAGAGUGCGGGAGAGGAAAGUGGAAUUCCUGGUGUAGCGGUGAAAUGCGUAGAUAUCAGGAGGAACACCGGUGGUGUAGACGGCUUUCUGGACCAUUGCUGACGCUGAGACACGAAAGCGUGGGUAGCAAACAGG